Long non-coding RNA from Monodelphis domestica (gray short-tailed opossum), 1712 nucleotides. NCBI's taxonomy places the organism in Eukaryota, Metazoa, Chordata, Mammalia, Didelphimorphia, Didelphidae. The record is from Ensembl.
GUCUCGGUCUCUCUCCCUCUCCCUACUCUCCCCUCAUUUCCAUAUACUCUGUCUGUGUUUCUGCCCCCCGUCGGUCUCUCCAUCUUCCUUUCUCCCUCUUUUCCCUCCCUCCAUCUCUGUCUCUCUCUCUGUCUCUCUCCCUCUCUCUGUCUAUCUCUGAGCCUCUGUUUAUCUCUGUGUCUCUGUCUAUCUCGGUGUCUCUGUCUCUCUCCCUCUCCCUCUCUCCCUCCUUCCAUCUUCUCUGUCUCUGUUUCUGCCCCCCCGUCUGUCUCUCCAUCUUCCUUUCUCCCUCUUUCCCUCCCUCCAUCUCUGUCUCUCUCUCUGUCUCUGUCUCUCUCUGUUCCUCUCUCUCUCCUCCUCUGUGUCUCUGUCUCUCUGUGUCUCUCUCUGUCUCUCUCCCUCUCUCUGUCUAUCUCUGUGUCUCUGUCUAUCUCUGUCUCUCUGUCUCUCUCUGUCUCUCUCUCCCCUCCUUUCUCUCUCUCCUCUGUGUCUCUGUCUCUCUGUGUCUCUCUCUGUCUCUCUCCCUCUCUCUAUCUCUGUGUCUCUGUCUAUCUCUGUGUCUCUGUCUCUCUCCCUCUCCCUCUCUCCCUCCUUCCAUCUUCUCUGUCUCUGUUUCUGCCCCCCCCGUCUGUCUCUCCAUCUUCCUUUCUCCCUCUUUCCCUCCCUCCAUCUCUGUCUCUCUCAUAAGCAUUUAUAUGUAUCUACUAGAUGCCUCCUAACAACCACACAAUAGGGAGCUGUCGGGAUCCCCAUUUUACAGGUGAGGAAACUGAGGCAAACCCAAGUUAGGUGACUUGCCCAGGGUUACACAAGUGAGGUUGUUGGUCAGAGUUGACCCCGGGUCCAGCGUUCUUUGGACUGUGGUGCUCCCGGCUGCUUUGGUGGAUUUGGAAUGGGAGAACCUGGAGGCGGAGAGAGCAGGAGGCUAUUGAAGGAGUCGGGGGAGAAGGGAGAAGGGCUCGAACAGGGAGCUCCAUGAGUGGAGAGAACGGGAUGGAGGCUGGAGCCCCAGACUGGCUCCGGGGAGGGCGGAGGGGCGGCAGCAGUGGAGGAUGGGCCCGACGUUCCAAACGGGGGGCUGGAAGGAUGCUGGCACCCUCCACAGGAGUAGGCAAGCCUGGAGGAGGGGUGGGGUGGGGGAGAGGCUCUGCACAGGUGGGGCCACAGAGGGAGAUGGUGCCCCUGAGACCCCGAGAAAGGAGCAGAUGCAGAUUCUGGGCAGAGCAGGCACGAUGGUGGAGGGAAGGGUGGCCCAGCUUGCUGUCAGAGGGUGCGAGGUCCUUGUAGAAGCCUGGCUCUGGCCCUUGGCUGCCCCUCGUGGUGACUGUGUGAUUGUGGCCUAGUCACUGGCCUCAGCGUCCUCAUGCCUAAAAGCAGGGGGCUGGAAUUGCUGCCGUCCCAAGCCUCUAGGGAGGAUGAGGAACUGGGCAGUCCUAGGACUUGUCUUCCCCACAUCAUUUCAUGACUGCCUUGGGAUCUUCUGAUGGAAUGGAGGCCUGGGUUCGAAUCCUGACUUUGACACUUCCUAACAUGGGGACACGUGCCUCCUUCACAGGACCGGUGACGUGGGUUCAGGAAAUGUGCCGCUCUGGCACUUAUUAUUAACAGCAGGAGCAGUGAUUCCGGGAGCGCCAGGUGCCCAGAUGGGUGUGCCCCGCCCUGAAUAAGGGCCACCCUUGUCCAGGUUCCUUGGGAGCCCACGGGAGCCCUCU